UUAUAUUGACAUAUUAAUAAUAUGUUGCCUCACUUUACAAACCUAAGCAAAGUAAAUAAGUUGGAAUUGAAUCUAGAUCAUUGAGAAAGAAACCAAAUUGUGCUAAGGGCUUUUUGAUAGAUUCUGAUGGUGGCACUAAGGGAGAGAAGGAACUGCUACUUGAAUAAACCAUGAUAAUUAGUUCUCAAGUGAUUCUUUUUGGGGGAAAAGGGGCGCUGCACAUAGCCUGAUUCACAUGAAGGAACAAAAGCAGAGAAAGCUAUAAUUGACAAUUUCAAAUGUCCGCCUUAGAAGGUAAUAAUUAAGUCUACUUUAUGGGUACUACUAUUUAAGACGUUAGUAUUAAUAUAUCAGAUUUAUCACGAGAUAUUUUAGUUUAAACAACGAGAUUAAACUAUGAUUUGGAAAUUGGAAGCUAGCGUGCAAGGAGGAUGAAGUGAGUUAUAGAUCUAAUUCGAGGUAUGUUGAGGUUUAUUCCCGAGGUCAGGGCUAGAUUAGAAUGCGCAUAUUAAAUUAUGUGAUUUCUUUCAAUAUGUUUCAGAAUAAACUAUAUAUAUGUUUGUAUAAAAUCACUAUAACAGAAAACGAUUAAAAUGUAUGGCGUGUUGCAAUUAUACUGCUUAUGUGCAAUUAUUUGUUUAUGUGCAAUUAUACUGCUUAUAUGCAAUUAUUUGCUUAUUUGCAACUGUUUGUUUUGCUCAACUCUCAAGUUCAUAUUCAGAUAAAAUGUGAUCACAUUCAGAAAGGGAGAAGUAGCCAACCUCCCCGAGCAUGAGUGUCAUAGUGACCAGGAAUAGCUACCCCAUGCUUGCAGGUACAAAAAUAAUUUAUUGGAGAGAUAGGUCGGCACUCCCCCGUAUGUGUUUCCAGAUGCUCACGUACGUAGGGCCAAAUUGUGUGUUGGGGAGAUAGCCGAUACUACCCCGUGCGUGUUCCCAGAUGCUUGAUGUUGGGCAUAUUUCGAUAUGUGUUAAUAUUACUUUACCCAUAUUUUAACCGCUUUUUGAUGCUAUUUGAUCUUUAAAAUGCCCAACAUGGUUUAAUUAUUGGUUUUAUGACUAAUUGAGUUGUGUGUGAUGAAUUAGGGUGUUUGGAGUACAAAAAUAUGAAGAAAAGGUGCUCUAGGUAGAGGAAGAGGGGUUGGAUUUCGUACACCCUUAGCAGUGAAGUCGGCCCAUAGCAUCCGCCACAGCAUCCGCACCUGGGCAAAGCUGAGAAGGAGGAACAAAGGGUGGAUGCGACGCAUCCACCCUAGCAUGCGAAGCUGAGAAGUGGAGGACGAUGUGGAUGUGACGCAUCCACCCCAGUAUUAAUCCCUGUAGCCAAGUCGGAUUAGGAAUAGA
Molecule: long non-coding RNA, 1343 nt
Filed under: Nicotiana tabacum (common tobacco)
Lineage: Eukaryota; Viridiplantae; Streptophyta; Magnoliopsida; Solanales; Solanaceae
Description: long non-coding RNA (NTAB_LNC016891)
Source: RNAcentral